AUGGUUAAGUUAGAAAGGGCGCACGGUGAAUGCCUUGGCACUAGGAGCCGAUGAAGGACGGGACUAACACCGAUAUGCUUCGGGGAGCUGUAAGUGAGCUUUGAUCCGGAGAUUUCCGAAUGGGGAAACCCACUGUUCGUAAUGGAACAGUAUCUUUAUCUGAAUACAUAGGAUAUUGAAGGCAGACCCGGGGAACUGAAACAUCUAAGUACCCGGAGGAAGAGAAAGCAAAUGCGAUUUCCUGAGUAGCGGCGAGCGAAACGGAAUUAGCCCAAACCAAGAGGCUUGCCUCUUGGGGUUGUAGGACACUCUAUACGGAGUUACAAAGGAACGAAGUAAAUGAAGCGACCUGGAAAGGUCCGUCGAAGAAGGUAACAACCCUGUAGUUGAAACUUCGUUCCCUCUUGAGUGGAUCCUGAGUACGGCGGAACACGUGAAAUUCCGUCGGAAGCUGGGAGGACCAUCUCCCAAGGCUAAAUACUACCUAGUGACCGAUAGUGAACCAGUACCGUGAGGGAAAGGUGAAAAGCACCCCGGAAGGGGAGUGAAAGAGAUCCUGAAACCGUGUGCCUACAAGUAGUCAGAGCCCGUUAAUGGGUGAUGGCGUGCCUUUUGUAGAAUGAACCGGCGAGUUACGAUCCCAUGCAAGGUUAAGCUGAUAAGGCGGAGCCGUAGCGAAAGCGAGUCUGAAUAGGGCGUUUAGUAUGUGGUUGUAGACCCGAAACCAGGUGAUCUACCCAUGUCCAGGGUGAAGUUCAGGUAACACUGAAUGGAGGCCCGAACCCACGCACGUUGAAAAGUGCGGGGAUGAGGUGUGGGUAGCGGAGAAAUUCCAAUCGAACCUGGAGAUAGCUGGUUCUCUCCGAAAUAGCUUUAGGGCUAGCCUCAUGUUGUGAGAGUCUUGGAGGUAGAGCACUGAUUGGACUAGGGGCCCCCAACGGGUUACCGAAUUCAGUCAAACUCCGAAUGCCAAAGACUUAUCCAUGGGAGUCAGACUGCGAGUGAUAAGAUCCGUAGUCAAAAGGGAAACAGCCCAGACCACCAGCUAAGGUCCCCAAGUAUACGUUAAGUGGAAAAGGAUGUGGAGUUGCUUAGACAACCAGGAUGUUGGCUUAGAAGCAGCCACCAUUUAAAGAGUGCGUAAUAGCUCACUGGUCGAGUGACUCUGCGCCGAAAAUGUACCGGGGCUAAACGUAUCACCGAAGCUGUGGAUUGACAUCUUUGAUGUCAGUGGUAGGAGAGCGUUCUAAGUGCUGUGAAGUCAGACCGUAAGGACUGGUGGAGCGCUUAGAAGUGAGAAUGCCGGUAUGAGUAGCGAAAGACAAGUGAGAAUCUUGUCCACCGAAUGCCUAAGGUUUCCUGAGGAAGGCUCGUCCGCUCAGGGUUAGUCGGGACCUAAGCCGAGGCUGAAAAGCGUAGGCGAUGGCCAACAGGUUGAUAUUCCUGUACCACCUCCCCGCCGUUUGAGUAAUGGGGGGACGCAGUAGGAUAGGGUAAGCGCGCUGCUGGAUAUGCGCGUUCAAGCAGUUAGGCUGAUGAGUAGGCAAAUCCGCUCAUCAUAAAGGCUGAGCUGUGAUGACGAGGGAAUUAUAGUACCGAAGUUCCUGAUUCCACACUGCCAAGAAAAGCCUCUAGCGAGGCGGGAGGUGCCCGUACCGCAAACCGACACAGGUAGGCGAGGAGAGAAUCCUAAGGUGAUCGAGAGAACUCUCGUUAAGGAACUCGGCAAAAUGACCCCGUAACUUCGGGAGAAGGGGUGCUCUGGUAGGGUGUAUAGCCCGAGAGAGCCGCAGUGAAUAGGCCCAGGCGACUGUUUAGCAAAAACACAGGUCUCUGCGAAGCCGCAAGGCGAAGUAUAGGGGCUGACGCCUGCCCGGUGCUGGAAGGUUAAGAGGAGGGGUUAUCCUUUGGGAGAAGCUCUGAAUCGAAGCCCCAGUAAACGGCGGCCGUAACUAUAACGGUCCUAAGGUAGCGAAAUUCCUUGUCGGGUAAGUUCCGACCCGCACGAAAGGCGUAACGAUCUGGGCACUGUCUCAACGAGAGACUCGGUGAAAUUAUAGUACCUGUGAAGAUGCAGGUUACCCGCGACAGGACGGAAAGACCCCGUGGAGCUUUACUGUAGCCUGAUAUUGAAUUUUGGUACAGCUUGUACAGGAUAGGUAGGAGCCUGAGAAGCCGGAGCGCUAGCUUCGGUGGAGGCGUCGGUGGGAUACUACCCUGGCUGUAUUGAAAUUCUAACCCGCGGCCCUGAUCGGGCCGGGAGACAGUGUCAGGUGGGCAGUUUGACUGGGGCGGUCGCCUCCUAAAAUGUAACGGAGGCGCCCAAAGGUUCCCUCAGAAUGGUUGGAAAUCAUUCGUAGAGUGUAAAGGCACAAGGGAGCUUGACUGCGAGACCUACAAGUCGAGCAGGGACGAAAGUCGGGCUUAGUGAUCCGGUGGUUCCGCAUGGAAGGGCCAUCGCUCAACGGAUAAAAGCUACCCCGGGGAUAACAGGCUUAUCUCCCCCAAGAGUCCACAUCGACGGGGAGGUUUGGCACCUCGAUGUCGGCUCAUCGCAUCCUGGGGCUGUAGUCGGUCCCAAGGGUUGGGCUGUUCGCCCAUUAAAGCGGUACGCGAGCUGGGUUCAGAACGUCGUGAGACAGUUCGGUCCCUAUCCGUCGUGGGCGUAGGAAAUUUGAGAGGAGCUGUCCUUAGUACGAGAGGACCGGGAUGGACACACCGCUGGUGUACCAGUUGUCUUGCCAAAGGCAUCGCUGGGUAGCUAUGUGUGGACGGGAUAAGUGCUGAAAGCAUCUAAGCAUGAAGCCCCCCUCAAGAUGAGAUUUCCCAUAGCGCAAGCUAGUAAGAUCCCUGAAAGAUGAUCAGGUUGAUAGGUCAGAGGUGGAAGCGUGGCGACAUGUGUAGCUGACUGAUACUAAUCGAUCGAGGACUUAACCAAA
This 2939-nucleotide ribosomal RNA is filed under the name Priestia megaterium. Its description in RNAcentral is "bacterial LSU rRNA". It matches the Rfam family "Bacterial large subunit ribosomal RNA". RNAcentral also lists the same sequence under 2 other names. The record is from RNAcentral. Lineage: Bacteria; Bacillati; Bacillota; Bacilli; Caryophanales; Bacillaceae.